UUAGAUCUGCCCCCCCCCCCAUGUGACUUUUGUCCAUGUUCAUCUUUUGAUCCACAAUAUAUCCUCCCCCUUUGGAAAAGCUGGUUGGGUCCAUGAAGUAGUAUGCAUUUUCUACUCCUCUGAAAAUAGCUACCAGAUUAAAUUUCCACGAAUCAGAUUCCAUUGCAUCAUACCACUAGAUGUCUCACCCUGUUGAAUGUAUUGAUUUAUUCUGUGUAAUCCACGUUGAGUCAUGGAGAAAAAGGAUUCAAAAUAACAAUAAAUACUACCCGAAUAUAUCAGAGAAUACCCCAGCAUUACCUUCUGAUACUGGUCCUGGAAAGAACUGGAAGCAAAGGAACAUACUGCCCCUAAUACCUAUGUCAGUUGGUGCUUUCAGACUGAUACAGGGAAAGCUGCAAAGGAAGAUAAGCAUCAGUAGGGUUUCUCUUUCUCUCACUGAAGACAGGGUGAAUAUGACAGCUGUUGUUCCAAAUAAAGGCUACAAUCUGCGUGGAAAUGGGUCUAGAGAAUUUUGCUUAAGAAAGCUUGGAAUUGCACAGCCACCACAUGUUCAAGUUCCAGACCUUGAAAGGGGUGUGAGGUCUCACAACCUUAAGCCAGUAAACGGACUCUGAAUAUUGAUCAGUAGCGUUGAUUGAAUAGGCAUCAAAGCACCACAUUUAGCAAAGCUAGUUCUUAUGAAGCUGGCAUUAACAGUCCCCUUUAUCCCCUGCAGAGAAUGCCCCCUCCCAUUCCCAAGAGUUUGUGAUAAGCAGUCUUUGGAGCUAAAGCACCCCAAGGUCUGCAGCAGAUAGCAAGAGAAAGCCACCUGGCUUCCUGCCCUAUGUGAUAAUGGAUGUAAUACAAUUUCCAUGGGACAGAAGUACCAGGGGAAGCCUAGUUGUCUACCAAGCAUGCGAAGCCAUAAAGCAAAGAUCAAGCAAAGAAUGCAUAGAUGGCAGUGGAUACAUAUAGCAGGCUGGUUGCAUAUAUCUUUCUAGCAACAGUAAUUUGUUAUUUUAAGCAGUUGCAUGGUCUGGGAAUGUAUCUCAAUCACCUAGAUAGCAUCCCCCUGACAAGGGGACACUUUUAACCAGAGAUCACUGUUCAAAUUAUUCCAAUUUAGAGUGGUUUGUUCUGCAGGGUUAUAAUUUCCUUGAAGGGGAUCAUCAACACCCCUUCCUUCAAAAAUAAUUCAUUAUACCCAGGACACAACUAGAAAAUCCUCUUCAGCUGGAAGUUAUAAACCAGGAUGAGCAUGGGUCUCUGAUAUUAAUGGAAUGUUACUAUAAUAUGGAUACUUCUGCAGCGUGGGAUGGGUGGAAGUCACAAUAGUUAUGUGCAGUUUUUGUAUUUAGUAUGCAGCAUG
Long non-coding RNA from Sphaerodactylus townsendi, 1351 nucleotides. RefSeq lists it as uncharacterized. The transcript is spliced from 3 exons. The record is from RefSeq and is a predicted model, not a curated record. Lineage: Eukaryota; Metazoa; Chordata; Lepidosauria; Squamata; Sphaerodactylidae.